RNAcentral lists this ribosomal RNA (497 nucleotides) under uncultured bacterium. RNAcentral's name for it is "partial 16S ribosomal RNA". It matches the Rfam family "Bacterial small subunit ribosomal RNA", at positions 28 to 507 of the family's 1533-position model. The record is from RNAcentral.
GAUGAACGCUGGCGGCGUGCCUAAUACAUGCAAGUCGAGCGAACAGACGAGGAGCUUGCUCCUCUGACGUUAGCGGCGGACGGGUGAGUAACACGUGGAUAACCUACCUAUAAGACUGGGAUAACUUCGGGAAACCGGAGCUAAUACCGGAUAAUAUAUUGAACCGCAUGGUUCAAUAGUGAAAGACGGUUUUGCUGUCACUUAUAGAUGGAUCCCGGCCGCAUUAGCUAGUUGGUAAGGUAACGGCUUACCAAGGCAACGAUGCGUAGCCGACCUGAGAGGGUGAUCGGCCACACUGGAACUGAGACACGGUCCAGACUCCUACGGGAGGCCGCAGUAGGGAAUCUUCCGCAAUGGGCGAAAGCUUGACGGAGCAACGCCGCGUGAGUGAUGAAGGUCUUCGGAUCGUAAAACUCUGUUAUUAGGGAAGAACAAAUGUGUAAGUAACUAUGCACGUCUUGACGGUACCUAAUCAGAAAGCAACGGCUAACUACGUG